Meleagris gallopavo (turkey) is the source of this 2294-nucleotide non-coding RNA. Lineage: Eukaryota; Metazoa; Chordata; Aves; Galliformes; Phasianidae. The record is from RefSeq and is a predicted model, not a curated record.
CAAGCUGUAUCUAACUGUCCAUUCAAAGUUUGCCUUACUAUAGCCAUAGAGAAUCACCAUCAGACAUGAUGCAGCUUUUUAAGAACCAUGAGGCAUAAGCAGUAUGGCACUAAGGCAAGUCAAAUCGUCUGGGUCCUUCCACUAACCAAAUUUAUAUGGUUUUCUGAACCACACCUUCUGAUUGUAAAUAAGUCAUUGCAACAGGUCUGUGAGUGAGACAGUCUGUCAUGUUUUCACAUGCAUUUGUCUGUUCUUACAUGCACAGGAAAGCAUAUGACAAAUUUGAACCUCAAAUAACAAGUGGUAUCAAAUCUUGCUCAAGAAAGACUGAAAAAAUGUGAAAAAGCAUGACAUUGGAAAGAUACAUUGUGAUGGAUGAAUCACUGUGACUGUUUUCUCAGUUGUACAGUUUCUUCAUCACUGCAGCAGAGUAACCGGUAACCAGUCAUUCAGUUUAACAGCAAAUAUUGAAGCCAAAUACUAAAAUAAUUUGCACAUAUUUAUAGCACAGUGGUAAGUCCAGAAAGUGCCAUAUCUGGUGGUGUUUGUCAGUGGGAUUUGGAGGAAGCUCUGCAAAUUAUUUCUCACUUAAUGCAACAAAAGUUCCAUAUUUCAGUAGAAAGUCAAUACAUCCACAUCUGUGAGGAAGUUAACUCCAGUUCAUAGAGAGUUGCAGAGUUUUUUCCCUAACAUUUUUAAAACAUAAAACCCUUGAAUAUGUGGGUGUGUGGAGAUGUAUGAUGUAUUUCUAUGUCCUGUACGUGCUGUGGAGAUCUGCAUUCUUCUUUGGGUAAAGAUGAGAGUUGAUAUAUACCAUGUGCAUGCAUAGAGUCAUUUCUUAAUUUAGCAACUCAUACAGAAAUUCUGUCCAAUUCUUUUCAUCCUUCCUUCUUUCACUGUGUCUGUGUGGCAAACACCCUGGGGUUCCUGUGGUUUUUGAAGUGUAUUUGCAUGAUACUGUAUAAAGAGCGAAUACAUUGUUUUGCAGUUGUUUGAAGGAGGUCACAAUAAUGGAUUUUUCUUCUUCUUUUUUUUUCCUUUCUUUUUCUUUUCUUUUUCUUUUUUUUCUCCUUUUCAUUGGUAGUUUUAAGAGUCAUUUGAGGAUCAGCAGUUUUACAUCUAAGAAGCACCUAAUUGUGACAAAUUAACAAGAGACUUUAGAUGUGGUCUAAUGCCUGGUGUUCCUGCAAAUCCCUCUCUAAAAGGAAAAGUUACAUUAUUUUUUAUUUUUAUCUAAGUGUUUGGCUCCUGAGCUGUAAGCACAGAAAAAGAGGAUUUCUUUGCAGAAAGGGAGGCGAAGUAUUUUUUGGUCACAAAUAAGACCAAAAUUUUUCAGACAUUCUAUAUCACUGUGAUAAUAGUGCUUUUCCCAUUCUUGAACUGGUCUUUAGAACAGUCAAACAGGAAAUACUCCACAGGAUUUUAUUUUUUAAAAAGUUUUGGAAAACUGUUGGUAUAUUGUCUAGUGCAAAAGUAAGCAACAAAGCUUUAUAGUACAUAGUUAAUUGGAGCAAGUGUUGAAGAGUCCAUCUUUCUGUGGUCCCUAUACCUCAUUUUCACUUUGAUAAGUUUAACCAUUAUGACAAACUGAUAGGACACAUUACCCACCUCUUAACUCUUCUGUGUUAAUGUAGUCCCAUCUACAGUAACUCAGAAUGACAUAAAGAGUGGGAAAGAUUAAAGCAUAUGUCUAUCCCUCUAACAGAUACACAAAGGCUCCACCAGAGUCUACCAGUGAGGCAGGAAAAAUGGAGUGCUUACAUAGAUGAGCAAGAAGUGUUGUUUCUUCUUAAUGGCUGCCACCUGUGCAGUGCCUCUGCUGCAGCUGGAGGAAGGGGACUGCAGCAGUGCAGUCAGAAGGAAGGAAAAAUGUAGCUGUGCGCCUGCAGCUGCUGAAGACUUAAGGAGCCUUAUGAAGAGAAACAUGGAGUAAAGGGAAGAAGACUGAUUACAGCCCAGGUAUUUAUAGGAAGACAAGAAUGGAUGAGUUAGAGGAGCCUUGUGUUUGAAAGAAGAAUAUUGGGACAUUCAGAACUAAGAGGCAAUUUGGAAUGGGAGUCACAAGGAAGUCAUUACAAAGAAGAACUGGGAAAGUGCCUCACAAAGGACUUGCAAGGGAAAGAGAUCUCAACUGGAUAAGCCCAUAAGCAACUUGAGCUGAAAUUGGUCCUGCCAUGAGCUGAAGAUUGAAUGAGAUCUCUUCUGUGAGCUUUUCCUCUAUCCAACAUACAGUGUUGCAUAUUUCAAUACUAAACGUGUAGUAUAUGAAAGGAACAUUAAAGUUAUGAAAAAGA